UAAUAGCUACAGAUGAUAAGGUGGUUUGUAUUUUUCGAUAAUUAUAUAUUAUUAUAGAUUAUUUUUUCAUAUAAAUUUUAAUAUUAAAGUCCGCAUUAAUCUACAUGUCGUAACGAUUAAGUAUAAUAAUAUCUACUCACCAUAUCGCGCAGGUUGCUUAACUAGUUAUAUUAUAUCUCAUACCAAAUUAUGUAAAAUC
Molecule: long non-coding RNA, 199 nt
Filed under: Ananas comosus (pineapple)
Lineage: Eukaryota; Viridiplantae; Streptophyta; Magnoliopsida; Poales; Bromeliaceae
Description: long non-coding RNA (ACOM_LNC016550)
Source: RNAcentral